UACAGAGGUCUCAAGCGUUGUUCGGAUUCAUUGGGCGUAAAGGGUGCGUAGGCGGCCACGCACGUCCGUUGUGAAAUCGCUCGGCUCAACUGGGCGGGGUCAGCGGAUACGGUGUGGCUGGAGCAAGCUAGGGGGCAAUGGAAUUCCCGGUGUAGUGGUGGAAUGCGUAGAUAUCGGGAGGAACACCAGUGGCGAAGGCGGUUGCCUGGAGCUUUGCUGACGCUGAUGCGCGAAAGCGUGGGGAGCGAUCCGG
This 253-nucleotide ribosomal RNA is filed under the name uncultured bacterium. Its description in RNAcentral is "partial 16S ribosomal RNA". It matches the Rfam family "Bacterial small subunit ribosomal RNA", at positions 524 to 776 of the family's 1533-position model. The record is from RNAcentral.